This 116-nucleotide ribosomal RNA is filed under the name Escherichia coli. The record is from RNAcentral. Lineage: Bacteria; Pseudomonadati; Pseudomonadota; Gammaproteobacteria; Enterobacterales; Enterobacteriaceae.
UCUGGCGGCCUUAGCGCGGUGGUCCCACCUGACCCCAUGCCGAACUCAGAAGUGAAACGCCGUAGCGCCGAUGGUAGUGUGGGGUCUCCCCAUGCGAGAGUAGGGAACUGCCAGAU